Molecule: ribosomal RNA, 253 nt
Filed under: uncultured archaeon
Lineage: Archaea
Description: partial 16S ribosomal RNA
Rfam family: Archaeal small subunit ribosomal RNA
Source: RNAcentral
UCCCAGCGGUCCAAGUCGCAGCCACAUUUGUUGGGUCUAAAACAUCCGUAGCUUGCUAUGUAAGUCUUUUGUGAAAUUCCAUAUCUUAAGUAUGGAGCGUGCAAGAGAUACUGCAUUGCUAGAGACCAGAAGACGUAAGAAGUACGAUUAGGGUAGUAGUAAAAUACGUUGAUCCUAAUUGGACUAACAAUAGCGAAGGCAUCUUACGAGUAUGGAUCUGACAGUGAGGGAUGAAGGCUAGGGUCGCGAAAAG